GUUCGUCGGAAACCUCACAGUAGUAGCUUUGUAGGCGGUGGUAGUAGCUUUUGUAGCUUGUGGUAGUAGUUUUUGUGGCUGGUGGUAGUAGCUUUUGUGUUCAUCGGAAACCUCACAGUAGUAUCUUUUGUAGGCGGUGGUAGUAGCUUUUGUAGCUGGUGGUAGUAGCUUUUAUAGCUGGUAGUAGUAAUUUUUGUCAACGUCGGAGGUCGGCCGGAAACCUCGCCGGAGGUCCUCUGGAAAUCUCGCCGGAGGUCCGCCGGAGACUGUUCCGAAAUGAGAGUGGUUGUUGACUUUUUAUACUAAUGGCAUUCUUGUAAAUAUAAGGGAGAAAAUCUAAUUUUUUUUGUUAGAUGGCAGUCUGUAAUUAUGUUGAACUUCAAUACUUAAAACAAAACCUUAUUUAGACUUGGGUCGACUUAUGUGGGUAAAAAUGUUAGGGUGGAUCUAUGUGUGAAAAAAUGUUUCAAAGUAGACUUAUAUGUAAUUGGCCCUAAAGAAAUGCAUUUAAUUGAGUUCAUGUAAGGUAAUAACUAAAUCAACUCGAUUUAAAAAGUUAACUAAAUAAUCUUGAUGAAAACUGACACGACCCACCCCGAAUUUCACCCUGAAACCCAGAGUAAGUCGUGCGGGGACCACCUCCAAGGAAAAUUUACUGAAAAGAUUAAGAAAAUCUCCCUUGCAGAUGGACAACCCUAACUCGAAAAUUUCAUAUUACACUCUUAAUUCAACACUUCCGAACCUCACAUAAUAUACAAUAAUCUCAAAGUAUUCAGAGCUACUAAACACAAGCGGAAGCAAGAAAACACGAGUAGGUUGAACAGGUAACCUACUGGCGAAAACUGGCAGAAAUGCGGGUGACUAUGCCUCGUCUCCUACUAGAUCCAACCCGAACUCUGCAGACUGGGCAAUUUAAAACGAAGGGCCCAGGGGAAAACAUUUAAUAACGUCAGAGUGAGUGGACAAAAAUAAAAUAAUAAAUAAAAUAUUUAUGUUUCCCCAAAUUAAUUUCUAAGGAAAAAUCGAAUGCAUGCCGCAAGCGAUAAACUUUUAUCUCAUAAAAUAUCGAGCCUCUCAGACUCUAUAAUAUAUGUA
RNAcentral lists this long non-coding RNA (1095 nucleotides) under Fragaria vesca (wild strawberry). RNAcentral's name for it is "long non-coding RNA (FVES_LNC004336)". The record is from RNAcentral. Lineage: Eukaryota; Viridiplantae; Streptophyta; Magnoliopsida; Rosales; Rosaceae.